ACCGGUCUCCGGUAGUGGCCCCCGGGAUACCCGGCGUUGAAUCCGCCGGCCCCCGGGCGCUUCGAUCGAAGACCGGC
Non-coding RNA from Micromonospora echinospora, 77 nucleotides. Lineage: Bacteria; Bacillati; Actinomycetota; Actinomycetes; Micromonosporales; Micromonosporaceae. The record is from Rfam.